RNAcentral lists this ribosomal RNA (301 nucleotides) under uncultured bacterium. RNAcentral's name for it is "partial 16S ribosomal RNA". It matches the Rfam family "Bacterial small subunit ribosomal RNA", at positions 509 to 809 of the family's 1533-position model. The record is from RNAcentral.
CAGCCGCCGCGGGAAUACGGAGGGGGCUAGCGUUGUUCGGAAUUACUGGGCGUAAAGCGCACGUAGGCGGCUUGGUAAGUUAGAGGUGAAAGCCUGGAGCUCAACUCCAGAAUUGCCUUUAAGACUGCCGAGCUAGCAGGUGAGAGAGGUAAGUGGAAUUCCGAGUGUAGAGGUGAAAUUCGUAGAUAUUCGGAAGAACACCAGUGGCGAAGGCGGCUUACUGGCUCAUACUGGACGCUGAGGUGCGAAAGCGUGGGGAGCAAACAGGAUUAGAUACCCGGGUAGUCCCUGUCUCUUAUAU